GAGCUUGUCAUCUAAUGGUAGGAUAACGUCUCUUCAUGGCGUCGAUCUAGGUUCGAAUCCUAGCUAGCUUA
This is a non-coding RNA of Microbotryomycetes sp. JL221, 71 nucleotides long. NCBI's taxonomy places the organism in Eukaryota, Fungi, Basidiomycota, Microbotryomycetes. The record is from the annotation of a GenBank genome assembly.